This 407-nucleotide ribosomal RNA is filed under the name uncultured bacterium. RNAcentral's name for it is "partial 16S ribosomal RNA". It matches the Rfam family "Bacterial small subunit ribosomal RNA", at positions 28 to 526 of the family's 1533-position model. The record is from RNAcentral.
GACGAACGCUGGCGGCGUGCCUAAUACAUGCAAGUAGGACGCAGUUGCGAACGGCUGAGUAACGCGUAGGUAACUACCUCUUCGCGGGGGAUAACUAUUGGAAACGAUAGCUAAUACCGCAUACUCGUAGAUGGACCUGCGUUGUAUUAGCUAGUAGGUAGGGUAAUGGCCUACCUAGGCAACGAUACAUAGCCGACGGGAGAUGCUGAUCGGCCACCCUGGGACUGAGAAACUGGCCAGAAUCCUACGGGAGGCAGCAGUAGGCAAACUCCGGCAAUGGGGGGACGGCUGACCGUGCACAGCCGCCUGGGUGAGGAAGGUUUCCCGAUCGUAAAGCUCUGUUGUGAAGGAAGCGGUACGUACAGAAAAAGGAACGGCUAACUACGUGCCAGCAGCCGCGGUAAUAC